RNAcentral lists this ribosomal RNA (758 nucleotides) under uncultured Gammaproteobacteria bacterium. RNAcentral's name for it is "bacterial SSU rRNA". It matches the Rfam family "Bacterial small subunit ribosomal RNA", at positions 47 to 776 of the family's 1533-position model. Lineage: Bacteria; Pseudomonadati; Pseudomonadota; Gammaproteobacteria. The record is from RNAcentral.
CCUAAUACAUGCAAGUCGAACGCUUCUUUCCUCCCGAGUGCUUGCACUCAAUUGGAAAGAGGAGUGGCGGACGGGUGAGUAACACGUGGGUAACCUACCCAUCAGAGGGGGAUAACACUUGGAAACAGGUGCUAAUACCGCAUAACAGUUUAUGCCGCAUGGCAUAAGAGUGAAAGGCGCUUUCGGGUGUCGCUGAUGGAUGGACCCGCGGUGCAUUAGCUAGUUGGUGAGGUAACGGCUCACCAAGGCCACGAUGCAUAGCCGACCUGAGAGGGUGAUCGGCCACACUGGGACUGAGACACGGUCCAGACUCCUACGGGAGGCAGCAGUGGGGAAUAUUGCACAAUGGGCGCAAGCCUGAUGCAGCCAUGCCGCGUGUAUGAAGAAGGCCUUCGGGUUGUAAAGUACUUUCAGCGGGGAGGAAGGGAGUAAAGUUAAUACCUUUGCUCAUUGACGUUACCCGCAGAAGAAGCACCGGCUAACUCCGUGCCAGCAGCCGCGGUAAUACGGAGGGUGCAAGCGUUAAUCGGAAUUACUGGGCGUAAAGCGCACGCAGGCGGUUUGUUAAGUCAGAUGUGAAAUCCCCGGGCUCAACCUGGGAACUGCAUCUGAUACUGGCAAGCUUGAGUCUCGUAGAGGGGGGUAGAAUUCCAGGUGUAGCGGUGAAAUGCGUAGAGAUCUGGAGGAAUACCGGUGGCGAAGGCGGCCCCCUGGACGAAGACUGACGCUCAGGUGCGAAAGCGUGGGGAGCAAACAGG